AGAAUAUAAAUUUGUAUGGAGUUGGAACAACUUUCCUUCGUUUGCCGCUAGGAGCGCUUUUCUAACUCCAUACAAAAUUGAGUUC
RNAcentral lists this microRNA precursor (85 nucleotides) under Bombyx mori (domestic silkworm). Its description in RNAcentral is "mir-2807 microRNA precursor family". It matches the Rfam family "mir-2807 microRNA precursor family". Lineage: Eukaryota; Metazoa; Arthropoda; Insecta; Lepidoptera; Bombycidae. The record is from Rfam by way of RNAcentral.